RNAcentral lists this ribosomal RNA (253 nucleotides) under uncultured bacterium. Its description in RNAcentral is "partial 16S ribosomal RNA". It matches the Rfam family "Bacterial small subunit ribosomal RNA", at positions 524 to 776 of the family's 1533-position model. The record is from RNAcentral.
UACGUAGGUGGCAAGCGUUGUCCGGAUUUAUUGGGCGUAAAGCGCGCGCAGGUGGUUUCUUAAGUCUGAUGUGAAAGCCCCCGGCUUAACCGGGGAGGGUCAUUGGAAACUGGGAGACUUGAGUGCAGAAGAGGAAAGUGGAAUUCCAAGUGUAGCGGUGAAAUGCGUAGAGAUUUGGAGGAACACCAGUGGCGAAGGCGACUUUCUGGUCUGUAACUGACACUGAGGCGCGAAAGCGUGGGGAGCAAACGGG